Molecule: long non-coding RNA, 375 nt
Organism: Talpa occidentalis (Iberian mole)
Lineage: Eukaryota; Metazoa; Chordata; Mammalia; Eulipotyphla; Talpidae
Exons: 3
Source: RefSeq, a predicted model, not a curated record
GACAGGAGGAGGCUAAGAUGGCGGAAUGGCUACGCGAGGACGAGCAACGGCUGCGAGAGGUAGAGACCAGGAGAAGACGCCAGAGAAAGCCCAGAGGCAUUAUGGCCAGAGAAUCCUGUCACUUGGGAGGAAAACUUUAGUCUUUGACAUCAGAGACCAACAGACAGAACUAGAAGCAACAUGGAGAGGAUUCACCCUUUAUUAAUUAUGAGGACAGAACCCUUAGGGUUGAAGGAUGGGGCCUUGUAAAACAACUGAAGAAAUUCAAUGAAGCUUGAAAGAGGAUAAGCAAUUAAAUGUUUCACACUUUACAGGGUGCAGAUUAAAGAGUCUCAAGCCCUCUAAUCACAAAACAUACAAAUCUCCAAAUAAAAU